CAGCUCCACCGAUGCCUCCAAUACCUGUUUCUCUCUAAAGCCCUUUUCCUCUUCUCAAGUUUUUCUCAACUUUUGGUGCAGGUGGGAUUGAGGCGGAUCGAUGCCGCCUACGAUGCACUGGUCCCGCUAGGGUUCUCGAAGGACAUCGUCCGUAGAACUAUAAGUAAACUUUUGAAGGUAUAUGGUGGAGAGAAUGGAUGGGUUGUUGUCGAAGAAGCGUCGUAUAAGAUGGUCAUUGAGACUAUCCUGGACGAACAAGAGAGGGAGAGGACAGUUUGUGAAGAGGGCACGACCAAUGGUCAAGGGAGAGAGGCGACUGAUGACCAGGCGGACACCAUAAAUGGUCGAGGAAUGGAAUCUCCCAUUGUCAAUGAUGGCGAUGAGGAGGAGACGGAGACAAGAGAGUUUUUAAGGAUGAUUCUACAGUUACCAAAAGGGAAUAAACACAGAAGGCAGUUGUUCCAUUUAGCUCGAAAAAUGAUUUUGUUCUCCCGCUGGAAAGAGAAGAAAAAUUGAAGACAAUUGAUGUUUUUGGUGAUGAUCUUCCACUACCCCUAAUGUAAUUUUUUAAAUUUCGUCAGACGUGAAUAUUUUAUGGCAUGAAGUGUAUUACUAUGUUUUAAUUCAAGCUUGACUUCACGCAAGAAGACUAUAUUGUAAACUAAAUACAUCAAAUGGCUUAUGAUUACUUAGCAAAUGUACAAUUUUUAGCAAAUACUUCAUGUCAUUUAUUUAAUUUUGUUUUGUUUUAUUUUUUAAAGAACUAGAGUGGUUGGAAGCUUGGUAAAAAAAUUAGGAUGGGGCUGCGACUGAACCUAGGUCUUUUAAAUCCAACAAAAGAUUUUACCAAUUCAAGUAGUUGCCAUCCUCCAUCUUAGAUGUAUUGUUGGUUCUUACAUUUUUUUUGUUAUUCUUAAUGCGAUCGUAAGUGUGCAUGCGUACUAGCCUGAAUUGGGCAGUACGAGAUGCACUGUACCGUAUCAGUUCGGUACUCGGUAUGGAUAGCGUACCAACACUCGGUAUGCCAAAAAAACUCCGUAACAUACCGUACCGACCCUGUGCUAGUGUAGUACUGAUACGGGGUUUAGUAUCGAGACAGCGAACUUUGUGUGCAUGAAAUGUCUUGCUGAUAUUGCUAGUCUUAAUUUGAUGGUAAAUGAUCUAUAUUUGUUUGACUUCUUAACUUUUUCAUUUUUGGACAUCCUAAUGGCAAGUAUCACAUGUUAUAGAUGCUGCUAAAUGUUUUAUGUAACUUAUUUAGUUUGUCUGUUAAAUAGAGGGGAGAAACUGAAUCUUGCUUCACAUUGCCUGAUCUAUUAAUUUUCUAUUUUUUAUGAAUAUAGUAUAUUAUCCAAUUUCUUUGGUGCAUUUAUGGCAAGGUUGUGAAAUAUCGAGGAUUAAUACUAUAUCGACCAAGGUGGGUACGACAUGCAUUAUAUUGAUAAUUGUACUAACAAAGGGUAUUGAUUACGCAUAGAAACACCUUAAACACCCUUGCUAUGUUCUUUUUGGCCUCCAAACUCAUAUUUUUGUUUUUUUAACCAUUUAUUCUUGUCUAAAUGCCAUGUUUUUGCAAUAAGUUAGAUAGGAGUAUUGAAUUAAGUGCCCUAAUUAAGGAUUAUUAUGUAUGUGCUAAAAUCAUUAACUUGUAGAAAUACCACAUUACAUUGCAUGUGUUAAAAUCAGCAAUUAAAUGAAACUAAACAAAGAAAGAAUCUAUUCAUAACAUCAUUUAAUAAUAGUGGCACCUGCAACAAAAAUCGCUACUAUAUCAAUGAUCACGUACUAGGCACCAGCAUACUUAUCCAUGCUUUUAUCAUUUUUUAAAUUUUCAAACUUUUAUGGCAUGUCUUGAAGUGCAAGUUUGUCGCAUUCGCUUGAAGUAUUCACCUUGUUUCUUUUGGUGCAUUAAUAUAUCUUCUCUUCUCUUUGAUGGUUUAGCAAUAUUCUUUAAAUAUGUAUAUAUAUAUACACAUAUUUGCCAAUUAAAAAUGGAUAAUUAAUGUGAAAUUUAUUAUACUUUCAAGCGAUGGCUUAGGUGGAAUCUGAGCAUUCCAACUCACACCUAUUGUGGAUCAAAUUUUGGCAGGAUGUGCAUAUCAUUAGUACAAAAUGGUCGUAGAUUGAGCGUUCUGGUGUGAAAACCUUGUAGCAAUUAUCCUUCAUCUCAUUUCCACCUUCAAAUGGUGAAAAAAAGAGAGAAUCACCCUUUAACUCACUUCUCAAGUGGUACCUGGUCAUAUUGCUUAGAUGAGAGCUGUUUGGGUCAAUUCACUCUGAACCAACCACAAUCUGCCCUCGAACCACUUGAUCUGACCCCAUACCACUCGAUCUAUCAUUGGUUCAGGUGGUUCAUACUACUUUCAUUCAAACUGAUCUUCACUGUAUAGUAGCAGCUUUGGUACAGUAUGUACCCAUGUUUGCUGUACUGGCACCAGGCCCCGGAUCGGUUGCUCGGCGGCACGGAUCGGUACGGGCUUGCGCCGUGCCGGGCCGUACCAACACAAGAGAAGAGGUGGGGGAGGGAGAACGAAAUAGAGGAAAAGAGAGAAGGGGGAGGCUAAGGGAGGCCGGCCAAGAGCCAGCGGAAGGCCGAGGAGCCGCUGUGCGGAGGGGGUGGAGGCCGGAGAGCUGCUACGCGGAGAAGGCCGGGGAGCUGCCGCGGAACAUAGGCCCAGAGGGGGCCUUGUUUCGAACGAAACAUAGGACCGGAGGAGGAGCCUCUUUUCCGCAGCUCCUCGGCCUUCGCCUCCUCCCCACAACGGCUCCCCGGCCUCCACUUUCCUCUCUCUUCCUUUCACUCCCUCUCCCUCCCCCUCCCUCCCCCGCUCUCUCUCUCUUUUCCUCUUUUUUCUUUCUCCUUCUCCGUCGUCGGUCUCGUUUUCGUUGCCGGAACCGUUUUGGUCCGCCAUUGGUAGGGCUCAGGACGCCCCAAAUCGGGCGGUUCAGGAUGGCUCCAACCAUGGUAUGUACUAAAGGUAUGCGCCGAACUAUCCGAUACCUUGAUUUAUUGACAAAUGCACUAUCCAUGUAGUUACAUGAUGUUUGUUCUCUCAUACUCAUUAUGAUCGAAAAGUGGCAGCUGCGUAAUAAAAAUGUAAGAGCCUAACAUUUUAUAUGUUAGUACCUGAAAUCAAUAGCUGCCAUUAAUUUAAAGUUGCUUAUACAUGCCCAGCUCUAGUGACCUUGACUGGGAUGUGCCAGCAGGAAGAAAAAAGCACAAGACAGGUUGUUCAGAUAUUCAGACUACUUCAGAGAUAAAUAGUUCAGCUAAAAAGUGGUUUUUCAAAGCUAUAAUCACAAAACUCCUCAAUAUCACGGACACCAAUAAACAGUACAACAUUAAGAUAGGGGUAACCAAAGAUUGGUAUGGGACACCUUAAGCAAAUGGAGUGCUUGCAUGCCAAACAUUUGAUGACAUAUAAAUUGAUUUGUUUUUCGCUUUUAUUUGACCAGCAGUGUUACUUCUCUCAGCAUGUCUAAAAUCUGCAAUAAUAAUGCUUUCAACAUUAUUGGGUAUGGAACUUAAAAUUUUUAUUACCAGCACAAUUUCUGAAAAGUGGAAAUAGGAUAUUGAAGAGAUCAAAGAAUAUGUUAUAGCAAGCUUGAGCGUUGGCAUUUCAAUUAAGCAACAAAAUCCUUCAUAAAUGACCAGCAGUUAUUCUGAUAAAGCAGCUAUUCUUUAAUUUUCAUACUGAGAGCUGUAAAAUGCAUGGAUGACACUUCUAUUUUUUGGCAAAGUUACAGAAUUUGCAGAAGCCAUCAAGUAGAAAGCAGCGUAUACAGCGAAUAAUAGUUACUUGAAGCAGGGCCAGAUUCUGGUGUGGGUGCAACAAAUCAGAUCUCUCAAAAGAUUUAGAAUAGCAAAAAUGCUUGGGGAGCGGGUGCAAGGACAGAACCUAUCUCAACAUCUAAAGUGUCAGAGGAUCUUUGUUGAGGACGCUAAGGGUAGAUUGUUUUUCAGGCAACAUCAGACAAGGUAAUGAUUUACCUAUAUUUUUUUAUGUAUUGGAAAGUACUUUCAGAAUUGGUUACCCAUCUUUUUUUUGCAUUACUACUUUUUUUUUUUGGAUAAGUUGCUAAGAUCUAUCCAUAUUUCCUAUAAUUAAUACUCUUUAUCUAUAUAUAUUAUAAAUAAUAUAAUAUAAUAUAAUAUUAUAUUUAUAAGUUACAUAAUAUGCCAUAUAUAAUAUGAUAUAAUAAUAUAUAUAUUAUUAUAUGAUAUAAUAAUAGUAUAAUAUUAGAGUUAGAGAUAUUGUAGAAAUAAAAUAAAAAAUCUAUUUUACCUACUAAGGGAAAAUGACUUACCCACUUUUCUGGUGGGCAGGACUUCCACUCCCUCCCCCCACCCAAUUCCAUGGUAAAUGUUAUCCAUGGAAAUUAACUUACCUACCUAGAGAAGCAUAAGAGUAAGUCAGUUAAUAAAAAAUUUAGUUUCCCACGAUAUUUACCCACCACCCUGAAGGUAGUUCAUGGUGAGAGAUGUAUUGAAAUAGCACAUGCAUGCUUGUUAAACAAACGCGGUCAAAUAUGGUUUUGGUUGCAAGUGGGUUGCGAUUUACUAUAUCCAGAGGUAACAACACUUAUCGCAUGACAUAUAAAUCACGGAUAUUUUUACUAACCUGUUACAAUGUUAUAUAGGCAGGUUAUCUAGCAAGCAUAGCUCACAGCAGACUUAGCAGCCCUAACACCUUUAAGAAUGGAAGAUGAUUUUCCUUCAAAGUAUAAAAGCAGUAGUUCAAUCCAUACAAGCUACAAGUUCGAUGGCUGCUUGAAUUGGUGGAAAAAUUCAAGAAUCAAGGAGCUCAGGAGUGGAACCCAGACUUGCCCUGAAAUUCCUAUUGGACGCCCUCUGCUUAGUUAUAUGGUUAAUACUUUCUUUUUUUUAUGGUAGGAUUUGCACUGCUUAAUUGAUCCAACCAGCCUAUAAAUUUCAGUUGAUGAACCAUUAUGAUAUAAUUGUUGUUUGGUACAAGAUGUAAGUGCAAAGAAAUUUAUUUGCUGCUCCUGCAAGGAUUAAGAAAGCAAUUCUGACAACUGACUAGUAAAGACUUAUUAUACUGAUUUUGUCAA
Molecule: non-coding RNA, 5073 nt
Organism: Phoenix dactylifera (date palm)
Lineage: Eukaryota; Viridiplantae; Streptophyta; Magnoliopsida; Arecales; Arecaceae
Source: RefSeq, a predicted model, not a curated record